RNAcentral lists this non-coding RNA (105 nucleotides) under Hespellia stercorisuis. RNAcentral describes it as "Azaaromatic sequence". It matches the Rfam family "azaaromatic riboswitch aptamer (yjdF RNA)". The record is from RNAcentral. Lineage: Bacteria; Bacillati; Bacillota; Clostridia; Lachnospirales; Lachnospiraceae. RNAcentral also lists the same sequence under 1 other name.
AAGAACAAAGAUAAAAACACGUCCCGGUAGGUAGUCCGGGAGCAGCGUAGAUAAACGCUGUCAGUAACCUGCCUCCUUUGGUUGUCCAUUCUUUGUGUAUUAAAG